This 349-nucleotide small nuclear RNA is filed under the name Capra hircus (goat). RNAcentral describes it as "7SK RNA (ENSCHIG00000005042.1)". The stretch from base 1 to 305 matches the Rfam family "7SK RNA". Rfam says of the family: 7SK was discovered as an abundant small nuclear RNA in the mid-70s but a possible function has only recently been suggested. Two independent studies have found that 7SK RNA binds the CDK9/cyclin T complex (known as elongation factor P-TEFb). Lineage: Eukaryota; Metazoa; Chordata; Mammalia; Artiodactyla; Bovidae. The record is from Rfam by way of RNAcentral.
GUGAAGGAGAUUUGACUCCAGCAUCUGUCUCUUGAUUGAUUGCAGGGUUGGUUCAGCAUAUCUGACUAGCUAGGCAGGGGCCCCUUACUGCCUCACAUGCACAUCCUUCCCAAAGAUGCAUGCUUGGUUGAAGAGGACAGCCUUCCCUAAUAGAAGAGGACCUUUGUUUGUUUGUUUGUUUGUUUUUCUUCAAGGUUAUACGAGUGGCUGUACACCCCAGCUAGAACCUCCAAACAAGCUCUCAAGAGAUGUAGUCUAUUUCUUCACCAUGUGAACCAGGGUUUGGUUAUGUAACUUGCUUUGGUUAGCAGAAACAAAGAAAAAGUAACCCAAGGCUUGAUGAGUGCUU